CCCUGUGGCAGGGGGCUUUUAUUAGAUGCAAGACUACGCCACCACGCAGACGCGGGUGGAUUUUGUUGAACUCUGGAUAACUGCAGGACCGCAGUAAGCCUUGUGCUGGCGGCGUAUCUUCCAAGUGUUUGCCCUAUCAACUUUGGACGGUAGGGUACCGGCCUACCGUGGUUGUAACGGGUAACGGGGAAUCAGGGUUCGAUUCCGGAGAGGGAGCCUGGGAGACGGCUACCACAUCUAAGGAAGGCAGCAGGCGCGCAAAUUACCCAAUCCCAGAACGGGGAGGUAGUGACGAAAAAUAACAAUAUGAAACCCUUGUGGUUUUGUGAUUGGAAUGGACGGGAUAUAAAAACUCCCGUGAGGAUCUAGUGGAGGGCAAGUCUGGUGCCAGCAGCCGCGGUAAUACCAGCCUCCACAAGCAUAUGCAAAAGUUGCUGCGUUUAAAAAGCUCGUAGUUGGAUCUGUUGCUUGAGUCUCGCAAUCCCGCCAUCCUCGAAUGAGGUGUUGGGGAGACUUGACUACCUGAGCCGCCAAGGGUGCUUGCGCUUAACUGCGUCGAGUGCUCGCGACGGAGGU
This 576-nucleotide ribosomal RNA is filed under the name uncultured eukaryote. RNAcentral describes it as "bacterial SSU rRNA". It matches the Rfam family "Eukaryotic small subunit ribosomal RNA", at positions 189 to 752 of the family's 1831-position model. The record is from RNAcentral.